This 2906-nucleotide ribosomal RNA is filed under the name Escherichia coli O83:H1 str. NRG 857C. Its description in RNAcentral is "bacterial LSU rRNA". It matches the Rfam family "Bacterial large subunit ribosomal RNA". The record is from RNAcentral. Lineage: Bacteria; Pseudomonadati; Pseudomonadota; Gammaproteobacteria; Enterobacterales; Enterobacteriaceae.
GGUUAAGCGACUAAGCGUACACGGUGGAUGCCCUGGCAGUCAGAGGCGAUGAAGGACGUGCUAAUCUGCGAUAAGCGUCGGUGAGGUGAUAUGAACCGUUAUAACCGGCGAUUUCCGAAUGGGGAAACCCAGUGUGUUUCGACACACUAUCAUUAACUGAAUCCAUAGGUUAAUGAGGCGAACCGGGGGAACUGAAACAUCUAAGUACCCCGAGGAAAAGAAAUCAACCGAGAUUCCCCCAGUAGCGGCGAGCGAACGGGGAGGAGCCCAGAGCCUGAAUCAGUGUGUGUGUUAGUGGAAGCGUCUGGAAAGGCGCGCGAUACAGGGUGACAGCCCCGUACACAAAAAUGCACAUAUUGUGAGCUCGAUGAGUAGGGCGGGACACGUGGUAUCCUGUCUGAAUAUGGGGGGACCAUCCUCCAAGGCUAAAUACUCCUGACUGACCGAUAGUGAACCAGUACCGUGAGGGAAAGGCGAAAAGAACCCCGGCGAGGGGAGUGAAAAAGAACCUGAAACCGUGUACGUACAAGCAGUGGGAGCCUCUUAAUGGGGUGACUGCGUACCUUUUGUAUAAUGGGUCAGCGACUUAUAUUCUGUAGCAAGGUUAACCGAAUAGGGGAGCCGAAGGGAAACCGAGUCUUAACUGGGCGUUAAGUUGCAGGGUAUAGACCCGAAACCCGGUGAUCUAGCCAUGGGCAGGUUGAAGGUUGGGUAACACUAACUGGAGGACCGAACCGACUAAUGUUGAAAAAUUAGCGGAUGACUUGUGGCUGGGGGUGAAAGGCCAAUCAAACCGGGAGAUAGCUGGUUCUCCCCGAAAGCUAUUUAGGUAGCGCCUCGUGAAUUCAUCUCCGGGGGUAGAGCACUGUUUCGGCAAGGGGGUCAUCCCGACUUACCAACCCGAUGCAAACUGCGAAUACCGGAGAAUGUUAUCACGGGAGACACACGGCGGGUGCUAACGUCCGUCGUGAAGAGGGAAACAACCCAGACCGCCAGCUAAGGUCCCAAAGUCAUGGUUAAGUGGGAAACGAUGUGGGAAGGCCCAGACAGCCAGGAUGUUGGCUUAGAAGCAGCCAUCAUUUAAAGAAAGCGUAAUAGCUCACUGGUCGAGUCGGCCUGCGCGGAAGAUGUAACGGGGCUAAACCAUGCACCGAAGCUGCGGCAGCGACACUAUGUGUUGUUGGGUAGGGGAGCGUUCUGUAAGCCUGUGAAGGUGGCCUGUGAGGGUUGCUGGAGGUAUCAGAAGUGCGAAUGCUGACAUAAGUAACGAUAAAGCGGGUGAAAAGCCCGCUCGCCGGAAGACCAAGGGUUCCUGUCCAACGUUAAUCGGGGCAGGGUGAGUCGACCCCUAAGGCGAGGCCGAAAGGCGUAGUCGAUGGGAAACAGGUUAAUAUUCCUGUACUUGGUGUUACUGCGAAGGGGGGACGGAGAAGGCUAUGUUGGCCGGGCGACGGUUGUCCCGGUUUAAGCGUGUAGGCUGGUUUUCCAGGCAAAUCCGGAAAACCAAGGCUGAGGCGUGAUGACGAGGCACUACGGUGCUGAAGCGACAAAUGCCCUGCUUCCAGGAAAAGCCUCUAAGCAUCAGGUAACAUCAAAUCGUACCCCAAACCGACACAGGUGGUCAGGUAGAGAAUACCAAGGCGCUUGAGAGAACUCGGGUGAAGGAACUAGGCAAAAUGGUGCCGUAACUUCGGGAGAAGGCACGCUGAUAUGUAGGUGAAGCGACUUGCUCGUGGAGCUGAAAUCAGUCGAAGAUACCAGCUGGCUGCAACUGUUUAUUAAAAACACAGCACUGUGCAAACACGAAAGUGGACGUAUACGGUGUGACGCCUGCCCGGUGCCGGAAGGUUAAUUGAUGGGGUUAGCGGCAACGCGAAGCUCUUGAUCGAAGCCCCGGUAAACGGCGGCCGUAACUAUAACGGUCCUAAGGUAGCGAAAUUCCUUGUCGGGUAAGUUCCGACCUGCACGAAUGGCGUAAUGAUGGCCAGGCUGUCUCCACCCGAGACUCAGUGAAAUUGAACUCGCUGUGAAGAUGCAGUGUACCCGCGGCAAGACGGAAAGACCCCGUGAACCUUUACUAUAGCUUGACACUGAACAUUGAGCCUUGAUGUGUAGGAUAGGUGGGAGGCUUUGAAGUGUGGACGCCAGUCUGCAUGGAGCCGACCUUGAAAUACCACCCUUUAAUGUUUGAUGUUCUAACGUUGGCCCGUAAUCCGGGUUGCGGACAGUGUCUGGUGGGUAGUUUGACUGGGGCGGUCUCCUCCUAAAGAGUAACGGAGGAGCACGAAGGUUGGCUAAUCCUGGUCGGACAUCAGGAGGUUAGUGCAAUGGCAUAAGCCAGCUUGACUGCGAGCGUGACGGCGCGAGCAGGUGCGAAAGCAGGUCAUAGUGAUCCGGUGGUUCUGAAUGGAAGGGCCAUCGCUCAACGGAUAAAAGGUACUCCGGGGAUAACAGGCUGAUACCGCCCAAGAGUUCAUAUCGACGGCGGUGUUUGGCACCUCGAUGUCGGCUCAUCACAUCCUGGGGCUGAAGUAGGUCCCAAGGGUAUGGCUGUUCGCCAUUUAAAGUGGUACGCGAGCUGGGUUUAGAACGUCGUGAGACAGUUCGGUCCCUAUCUGCCGUGGGCGCUGGAGAACUGAGGGGGGCUGCUCCUAGUACGAGAGGACCGGAGUGGACGCAUCACUGGUGUUCGGGUUGUCAUGCCAAUGGCACUGCCCGGUAGCUAAAUGCGGAAGAGAUAAGUGCUGAAAGCAUCUAAGCACGAAACUUGCCCCGAGAUGAGUUCUCCCUGAGACUUAGAGUCUCCUGAAGGAACGUUGAAGACGACGACGUUGAUAGGCCGGGUGUGUAAGCGCAGCGAUGCGUUGAGCUAACCGGUACUAAUGAACCGUGAGGCUUAACCUUAC